Molecule: ribosomal RNA, 449 nt
Filed under: uncultured bacterium
Lineage: Bacteria
Description: bacterial SSU rRNA
Rfam family: Bacterial small subunit ribosomal RNA
Source: RNAcentral
UGACAGUACUCCUACGGGAGGCAGCAGUGGGGAAUAUUGCACAAUGGGCGCAAGCCUGAUGCAGCAACGCCGUGUGAGUGAAGAAGGUUUUCGGAUCGUAAAACUCUGUCCUAAGGGAAGAAACAAAUGACGGUACCUUAGGAGGAAGCCCCGGCUAACUACGUGCCAGCAGCCGCGGUAAUACGUAGGGGCAAGCGUUAUCCGGAAUCACUGGGCGUAAAGGGUGCGUAGGCGGCUUAGCAAGCCAGGGGUGAAAGGCAUUGGCUCAACCAAUGUAAGCCUUUGGAACUGUUAAGCUUGAGUGCAGGAGAGGUAAGUGGAAUUCCUAGUGUAGAGGUGAAAUUCGUAGAUAUUAGGAGGAACACCAGUGGCGAAGGCGACUUACUGGACUGUAACUGACGCUGAUGCACGAAAGCGUGGGUAGCGAACAGGAUUAGAUACCCUGGUAG